CUCUUUAUGGGGGGUGACUGCGUACCUUUUGUAUAAUGGGUCAGCGACUUAUAUUCUGUAGCAAGGUUAACCGCAUAGGGGAGCCGAAGGGAAACCGAGUCUUAAUUGGGCGUUAAGUUGCAGGGUAUAGACCCGAAACCCGGUGAUCUAGCCAUGGGCAGGUUGAAGGUUGGGUAACACUAACUGGAGGACCGAACCGACUAAUGUUGAAAAAUUAGCGGAUGACCUGUGGCUGGGGGUGAAAGGCCAAUCAAACCGGGAGAUAGCUGGUUCUCCCCGAAAGCUAUUUAGGUAGCGCCUCGUGAACUCAUCUCCGGGGGUAGAGCACUGUUUCGGCUAGGGGGCCAUCCCGGCUUACCAACCCGAUGCAAACUGCGAAUACCGGAGAAUGUUAUCACGGGAGACACACGGCGGGUGCUAACGUCCGUCGUGAAGAGGGAAACAACCCAGACCGCCAGCUAAGGUCCCAAAGUCAUGGUUAAGUGGGAAACGAUGUGGGAAGGCCCAGACAGCCAGGAUGUUGGCUUAGAAGCAGCCAUCAUUUAAAGAAAGCGUAAUAGCUCACUGGUCGAGUCGGCCUGCGCGGAAGAUGUAACGGGGCUAAACCAUGCACCGAAGCUGCGGCAGCGACACUUUAGUGUUGUUGGGUAGGGGAGCGUUCUGUAAGCCGUUGAAGGUGUCCUGUGAGGGGUGCUGGAGGUAUCAGAAGUGCGAAUGCUGACAUAAGUAACGAUAAAGCGGGUGAAAAGCCCGCUCGCCGGAAGACCAAGGGUUCCUGUCCAACGUUAAUCGGGGCAGGGUGAGUCGACCCCUAAGGCGAGGCCGAAAGGCGUAGUCGAUGGGAAACGGGUUAAUAUUCCCGUACUUGGUGUUACUGCGAAGGGGGGACGGAGAAGGCUAUGUUGGCCGGGCGACGGUUGUCCCGGUUUAAGCGUGUAGGUGUGUGUUCCAGGUAAAUCCGGUUCACUUUAACACUGAGGCGUGAUGACGAGGCACCACGGUGCUGAAGCAACAAAUGCCCUGCUUCCAGGAAAAGCCUCUAAGCAUCAGGUAACAUCAAAUCGUACCCCAAACCGACACAGGUGGUCAGGUAGAGAAUACCAAGGCGCUUGAGAGAACUCGGGUGAAGGAACUAGGCAAAAUGGUGCCGUAACUUCGGGAGAAGGCACGCUGACACGUAGGUGAAGUGAUUUACUCACGGAGCUGAAGUCAGUCGAAGAUACCAGCUGGCUGCAACUGUUUAUUAAAAACACAGCACUGUGCAAACACGAAAGUGGACGUAUACGGUGUGACGCCUGCCCGGUGCCGGAAGGUUAAUUGAUGGGGUCAGCGCAAGCGAAGCUCCUGAUCGAAGCCCCGGUAAACGGCGGCCGUAACUAUAACGGUCCUAAGGUAGCGAAAUUCCUUGUCGGGUAAGUUCCGACCUGCACGAAUGGCGUAAUGAUGGCCAGGCUGUCUCCACCCGAGACUCAGUGAAAUUGAACUCGCUGUGAAGAUGCAGUGUACCCGCGGCAAGACGGAAAGACCCCGUGAACCUUUACUAUAGCUUGACACUGAACAUUGAGCCUUGAUGUGUAGGAUAGGUGGGAGGCUUUGAAGCGUGGACGCCAGUCUGCGUGGAGCCGACCUUGAAAUACCACCCUUUAAUGUUUGAUGUUCUAACGUGGACCCGUAAUCCGGGUUGCGGACAGUGUCUGGUGGGUAGUUUGACUGGGGCGGUCUCCUCCUAAAGAGUAACGGAGGAGCACGAAGGUUGGCUAAUCCUGGUCGGACAUCAGGAGGUUAGUGCAAUGGCAUAAGCCAGCUUGACUGCGAGCGUGACGGCGCGAGCAGGUGCGAAAGCAGGUCAUAGUGAUCCGGUGGUUCUGAAUGGAAGGGCCAUCGCUCAACGGAUAAAAGGUACUCCGGGGAUAACAGGCUGAUACCGCCCAAGAGUUCAUAUCGACGGCGGUGUUUGGCACCUCGAUGUCGGCUCAUCACAUCCUGGGGCUGAAGUAGGUCCCAAGGGUAUGGCUGUUCGCCAUUUAAAGUGGUACGCGAGCUGGGUUUAGAACGUCGUGAGACAGUUCGGUCCCUAUCUGCCGUGGGCGCUGGAAGAUUGAGGGGGGCUGCUCCUAGUACGAGAGGACCGGAGUGGACGCAUCACUGGUGUUCGGGUUGUCAUGCCAAUGGCACUGCCCGGUAGCUAAAUGCGGAAAAGAUAAGUGCUGAAAGCAUCUAAGCACGAAACUUGCCCCGAGAUGAGUCUUCCCUGAGACUUUGAGUCUCCUGAAGGAACGUUAAAGACGAUGACGUUGAUAGGCCGGGUGUGUAAGCGCAGCGAUGCGUUGAGCUAACCGGUACUAAUGAACCGUGAGGCUUAACCUU
This 2367-nucleotide ribosomal RNA is filed under the name Salmonella enterica. RNAcentral's name for it is "partial 23S ribosomal RNA". It matches the Rfam family "Bacterial large subunit ribosomal RNA", at positions 580 to 2925 of the family's 2925-position model. Lineage: Bacteria; Pseudomonadati; Pseudomonadota; Gammaproteobacteria; Enterobacterales; Enterobacteriaceae. The record is from RNAcentral.